Long non-coding RNA from Phasianus colchicus (ring-necked pheasant), 2848 nucleotides. RefSeq lists it as uncharacterized. The record is from RefSeq and is a predicted model, not a curated record. NCBI's taxonomy places the organism in Eukaryota, Metazoa, Chordata, Aves, Galliformes, Phasianidae.
GUUGUAGACCUCACAAAAGGACACAAGCAGAGCACAGGACAUGUAGUCAGGCAUAGAGAUCAAUCAGUCUCACCCCAUUCCUCAUGCACUUCUGAGAAUGGUUUCUCUGCACAUGUGUAGUUCCACCUCUUCCCUCAGUGUGGCCAUGCCAUCUGCUUGGACCUAUACCUCACCUCUCCGCACCUAGGCCUGACGGGGAAAAAAAGAUCCCUGCAUUUCCUCCUCUUGAUUCCCUCAUGCAGGCUGUCAACAGCCUCGACUUUUCAGACCUCCUACCUCGCACGGCCAAAGGACUCGCAGGAGUCACGCGUCUCCCGAGAGGACCUGGCACUAGAGGGCGAUGCCGACAUGCGCUUCUGCCGGUGUCUCCACAAUUCGUUAGCAAAAGCAGAGGAAUCAGAUGUUAAUGAUGAAGUUUGUGAAAUAAGGCAAGUGGUAGGUUAUCACUUCAUUACAUGGUGCUUGAUUCUGGAACAAGAGGAAUUAGCCUUAAACAUCAUCCCAGAGACUGAAGCAUAUGGGGUUUAACAGCUACACUAGCAACAACACAUCCAUACUGCACAUAUGGCACAAUGAUGUGAGCAGCACAGAGCUAGGACACCAUCAAGGAAGAUGAAGAGUGGUUUCAUUUAAUCAUGAACACAUAAAGACAUGAACAGCAGGACUGAAAUAUAAAAUGUUUGGGUAGAAACUUCUGUGGGAAGGCUGUAUCUUUGCUAGUCCUCACUACACUGAACAGAGAAUGAGGAGAAAAAACACUUGGGCUUUCUGGGGAUGCUGACCUCCUGCUCUUGUAAGACUGGAGAAAAAAAAACUACAAAAGAGAAUGCAAAGCAAGAUCAUCUCUGAACACAUUACAAUUGCUGCUUUACCUAGAUGCUGAAUUCAGGCCUGCAGUUUUGCAAUGUGCAAUUUGUUCUCCCACAAUAACAUUUGUUACUGAGAUCAUGUUUGGAAGAAUGAAUGUUUUUGAAUGGGAAAUGGGCAAGAAAAUUCCUCUAGCUCCAGAACUGAAUCAGAAAGAAGUGAUAUAGACUUUCUGCAGAAACAGAAAGGUACUUUGCAGAAAGAGAGCACCUAAUUACCAGAUUUACUUCUAAUGUAUUGAGCAGAUUUAGGGAAAUCAUGCAGUGUGAAAUUUCAGCUGAUUCUGCUCUCUUGUCCUAUGCAAGAGCAAGAUCUUCAAAUGAAGCCAUUCAAAACUUAUUUCAAAUGUAAUAAAAAGUGGUUAUUCUUUAUCCAGAAUAGUUCUGGAUGUUUAAAAUGUGCAUAUGUGUAAGGAAAAUAAGUGAAAUAAAUUGUUGUUUUGCCAGUGUCUCCUUUGCAGCUGAUGGAAUGUAAUGUACUGGGUAUCCUUAAAAAGUGCUUGUCACUUUUCUAAGUGACACAAAAUGUACUUGUACUGAGUUAUUUAAAUUUUCUUGCCCAGCCAGGCUUCUCUGUGCAAAGGAAAAUGAUGUGUUUUAUUUAAAGGGGUCCAGAAAAGUUCUUGGAAGACUGAUAAUUUACAACAGAAAUUUCAAGUUUUCUCCAAUUUUAUCUCAGAAAACAGAGGGUUGUCAGCAUAAAGGUGGUUAAGGUCAGUCCAUACUGGUUCGUCACCAAAUGUUUGUUUACCUGCUCAUAGAAGAAGGAAAUUAUGUUUGCUGGUUUUGGCAAGUCAUGCCACUUUAGAACAGGUUUUACUCUCCUUCUAGAAGUUCACUCCAUCCCUAAUGAGUUAUUAAUCAGAAAUUAGUGGACUAGUAUAAGUCUGUGGGAGAUGAGAUGAAGAUCUGUGGAGACACCUUUCAUCCCAUUUUCCUUCUUUUAUGGGGCCUCAGCUUCUUUUAUAACAGUACACUAUUUAAUAGCCACUGCUGCUUUAGCCUGUAAGUUCAAAAGACCUAUAAAUUUCUUGACUCUGCUUAUCUGUCACGGAGCAGGAGUGCUACAAUAAAAUAUGGUAAUAAAUUAAUGAUCAAUAAUAGCUGACAAGGUUCCUUCUUGAUCUGCCCUGUGAGACAGCCUGAGCAGCUGGGCCAUGGGAGGGUUUGUGCUUCGUGUCAGGGGAUUAUAAGGCAAAGCUGAUGUUCUGGUCCUACACUGUUACUGCAGAGAAAUUUUUCAUGGCACAAACUGUUAUUUCACAGCUUAACUUCUCAGUAGCCAAACUCAAAUGAGAAACCUUAUAGAGGUGAGAACUCUUAUUUUUUUUUCUUUUUGUUGUGGGUUGUUAACUUUGGAACUUGGUUACAACUGCUUGAGCACCAAAACUAUUCAUAGCUGCCACUAUUACUGUAACUGACAUGACUUUUAGUCAACCUGCAGCCAAUUAAUAGGUUUUUAUGAGUGAUGGGGUGUGUUUCCUUAGGAGGAAAUAAAAAGACAUUUCAGCACGUUCUCUUUUAAUCUUCCCCAGAUGUAGAAUAGGUUAAUGAUUUCUGUUUAUCUUCCAGCUUCCAACUAUCUUCUGUUUUGUGUAUGGACACAGAAAAUGUCCACUCCUGAUCAUGGUCAACAUUUGGAAUUUGAUGUUUUCUGGAGUGAAUUAAAGGCUCUGGUUGUACGCUAAAGAAAGAGCAACUUGUAUUACUUGCCUACCUGCUUCCUCCUCCCAGGGCUGUCUCAAGGUCUGCUAAGGAUGCUGGGAAUUGUUGACAGUAUAAUAUUCCAGAAAUAGAAUGAAUACCCAACACUUCUUUGCAUAUAUUAACUAGAAUCAGUCUGUCUGUAUCACUGAUACAUCUAAUAACUUCAUAUUACGUGUUUCAUAUACAGUAACAUGGCAAAUAUCUGUCACAUAUAUUUAUUUCCUCUUUGUUUGAUUUGUUUUGGACUCACCAUAUUCUAAUCUUUACUAAAUAAA